Molecule: ribosomal RNA, 248 nt
Filed under: uncultured Oscillospiraceae bacterium
Lineage: Bacteria; Bacillati; Bacillota; Clostridia; Eubacteriales; Oscillospiraceae
Description: partial 16S ribosomal RNA
Rfam family: Bacterial small subunit ribosomal RNA
Source: RNAcentral
UACGUAGGGAGCGAGCGUUGUCCGGAUUUACUGGGUGUAAAGGGCGUGUAGGCGGAGACGCAAGUCAGGAGUGAAAUCCCCGGGCUCAACCCGGGAACUGCUUUUGAAACUGCGUCCCUUGAGUAUCGGAGAGGCAGGCGGAAUUCCUAGUGUAGCGGUGAAAUGCGUAGAUAUUAGGAGGAACACCAGUGGCGAAGGCGGCCUGCUGGACGACAACUGACGCUGAGGCGCGAAAGCGUGGGGAGCAA